UUUCUUUCUUUAAUGACAAAUCUCUGCUUAGAGGUCAAGGAAAGUUCACUUAAUUUUUUUCUUCCUUGCCGUUAGAAGGUUGGGAUGCACGACAUUUCCUCCUCCUCAGUGCAGUUUCUUCAUAUGCUCGGGCUCUGCAGCCAAAUUAUCUUAUCCUGAAUAUAGAUCUUCAAAGCUGAUUGAAAUCUACCGGUGUGGAAAUACUCAGUCAUACGUUGGAAAGGAUCUGGGCCAAAUCCUGACUUAUUUUUUUGUGUGUAAACUGAAGUCAGUGGGAGUUGUGACCGUGGAAGCAGCGCUGUGCUUGCUCUUUUGUUAGCAGAUCCGUCUGCUGAUAUGUGCCCUGACCUUCCAGUUUGCUGCUAUGUUGGACGGAUAACUGUAGCUUAGCCUGAGCAAUUGUCGUUAUUGUGGUGUGUUUUAAGGGAAAAAAAAAUUGUUUGCUGGGUGUAAGUCGAGUUAUGAGCCUUAAUUUGGGGAAGGAGAGGUGUUGUGAGAUGGAGGUGUGUGGGAGCAUGAGUAGAUGUGUAUUCCAGACACAAGUGAGUGGGAAAGCUCAUUGCCGUGAAACAUGUCAUGGCUUCAUGCAUGUCAGUGCUUAAGGAUACAGCGUCCUGAGGCCAACACGUUUAGGGAAAAGCUGUGCUUUACACAUGUCAUAGCUGAUCCUUAAGACUGCUUUAGCACACAGGCGAGUAGUCAGAAAGAAAAAAACGCUGCGUAGAUAAGCCUACCUUCUUGGUGAGGAUCUACUGCAGUAGAUCCGCGUGUUUUUAAGCAGCGCUCAAGAACAGGACUAAGAACUGAAGCUGACCUGGCCCACAGAGGCUGCAUUUCAUUUCUUCCUGGGCAUGUGUGUGCAGCAGCUCUCCAGCCCGUGUGGCUGCCGGCCUGCCUGCGCCUUGGCCUGCCAGACAAUGGGAACGAAUCAUGUGAGGAAACUCGAGGUGUCAACAUUGGCUUAGUUUUUUCUUUUGCUUGUCUGUAAUUACUCUGCUGAAUUACGGGGGAUUAGUUUGUUAGUUGCAGCUGAUGAGUAUUCCUUCUAUUUUCACACCGAGCCAGAGAGCUGUGCUGUGAGGUUUGUUAGGGGUUCUUACUGGAUUUCGGUGCAACUUUGGAGUGCUCGCUUCAUCCCUGUGACCUGAAGAUCCUCAGGAUGGUACUGAGAGCUCCGUAGCCCCUUUUGGGAUUCCUGCCCCGGUCUGAGGGAUCAAACCCUCAUAGUUUACUUUAAACUGCGAGGAGGAGCUUGAGAGAAAUUUCCCUGGAGCUGGGUGAGCCCGAGUUCUCCACAGCUACCAGAGAGGAUCUGUUCAAGGCACGAUCAGGUUACCCUAAGGGCAGGGAUUUGUCCUUGCUGCAAUUUUGACCCCACAACCACUGGUCUGCUGUGCUAUGGGGGCAGGUUGGUGCCUAGAAGGAUUUGCUCUCAGGGCUGAAUAAUGACACUUCGGUGACUUUCUUCAAAGGGCAACCUCUCAUUCAAAUAUGGUGAGCAGUUGUCUUCGUCCUCUUUCUCACACACGGUGCUUUGCUGUAGUCUCA
Molecule: long non-coding RNA, 1548 nt
Organism: Gallus gallus (chicken)
Lineage: Eukaryota; Metazoa; Chordata; Aves; Galliformes; Phasianidae
Source: Ensembl